This 30-nucleotide non-coding RNA is filed under the name Mus musculus (house mouse). Lineage: Eukaryota; Metazoa; Chordata; Mammalia; Rodentia; Muridae. The record is from RNAcentral.
UAAGCUUAACUAUGUACAGAUGUGCUGGCA